This 527-nucleotide ribosomal RNA is filed under the name uncultured Pseudomonas sp. Its description in RNAcentral is "bacterial SSU rRNA". It matches the Rfam family "Bacterial small subunit ribosomal RNA", at positions 1 to 527 of the family's 1533-position model. The record is from RNAcentral. Lineage: Bacteria; Pseudomonadati; Pseudomonadota; Gammaproteobacteria; Pseudomonadales; Pseudomonadaceae.
AUUAGAGUUUGAUCCUGGCUCAGAUUGAACGCUGGCGGCAGGCCUAACACAUGCAAGUCGAGCGGUAGAGAGAAGCUUGCUUCUCUUGAGAGCGGCGGACGGGUGAGUAAUGCCUAGGAAUCUGCCUGGUAGUGGGGGAUAACGUUCGGAAACGGACGCUAAUACCGCAUACGUCCUACGGGAGAAAGCAGGGGACCUUCGGGCCUUGCGCUAUCAGAUGAGCCUAGGUCGGAUUAGCUAGUUGGUGGGGUAAUGGCUCACCAAGGCGACGAUCCGUAACUGGUCUGAGAGGAUGAUCAGUCACACUGGAACUGAGACACGGUCCAGACUCCUACGGGAGGCAGCAGUGGGGAAUAUUGGACAAUGGGCGAAAGCCUGAUCCAGCCAUGCCGCGUGUGUGAAGAAGGUCUUCGGAUUGUAAAGCACUUUAAGUUGGGAGGAAGGGUUGUAGAUUAAUACUCUGCAAUUUUGACGUUACCGACAGAAUAAGCACCGGCUAACUCUGUGCCAGCAGCCGCGGUAAUAAU